AAAAUCCGUCGAUUUCAAAAAUCGUGAGGGUUCAA
This 35-nucleotide transfer RNA is filed under the name Tragopogon dubius. Its description in RNAcentral is "partial tRNA-Leu". The record is from RNAcentral. RNAcentral also lists the same sequence under 1 other name. Lineage: Eukaryota; Viridiplantae; Streptophyta; Magnoliopsida; Asterales; Asteraceae.